This 1502-nucleotide ribosomal RNA is filed under the name Klebsiella pneumoniae. RNAcentral describes it as "bacterial SSU rRNA". It matches the Rfam family "Bacterial small subunit ribosomal RNA". The record is from RNAcentral. Lineage: Bacteria; Pseudomonadati; Pseudomonadota; Gammaproteobacteria; Enterobacterales; Enterobacteriaceae.
AGAGUUUGAUCAUGGCUCAGAUUGAACGCUGGCGGCAGGCCUAACACAUGCAAGUCGAGCGGUAGCACAGAGAGCUUGCUCUCGGGUGACGAGCGGCGGACGGGUGAGUAAUGUCUGGGAAACUGCCUGAUGGAGGGGGAUAACUACUGGAAACGGUAGCUAAUACCGCAUAACGUCGCAAGACCAAAGUGGGGGACCUUCGGGCCUCAUGCCAUCAGAUGUGCCCAGAUGGGAUUAGCUAGUAGGUGGGGUAAUGGCUCACCUAGGCGACGAUCCCUAGCUGGUCUGAGAGGAUGACCAGCCACACUGGAACUGAGACACGGUCCAGACUCCUACGGGAGGCAGCAGUGGGGAAUAUUGCACAAUGGGCGCAAGCCUGAUGCAGCCAUGCCGCGUGUGUGAAGAAGGCCUUCGGGUUGUAAAGCACUUUCAGCGGGGAGGAAGGCGNCGAUUGACGUUACCCGCAGAAGAAGCACCGGCUAACUCCGUGCCAGCAGCCGCGGUAAUACGGAGGGUGCAAGCGUUAAUCGGAAUUACUGGGCGUAAAGCGCACGCAGGCGGUCUGUCAAGUCGGAUGUGAAAUCCCCGGGCUCAACCUGGGAACUGCAUUCGAAACUGGCAGGCUAGAGUCUUGUAGAGGGGGGUAGAAUUCCAGGUGUAGCGGUGAAAUGCGUAGAGAUCUGGAGGAAUACCGGUGGCGAAGGCGGCCCCCUGGACAAAGACUGACGCUCAGGUGCGAAAGCGUGGGGAGCAAACAGGAUUAGAUACCCUGGUAGUCCACGCCGUAAACGAUGUCGAUUUGGAGGUUGUGCCCUUGAGGCGUGGCUUCCGGAGCUAACGCGUUAAAUCGACCGCCUGGGGAGUACGGCCGCAAGGUUAAAACUCAAAUGAAUUGACGGGGGCCCGCACAAGCGGUGGAGCAUGUGGUUUAAUUCGAUGCAACGCGAAGAACCUUACCUGGUCUUGACAUCCACAGAACUUUCCAGAGAUGGAUUGGUGCCUUCGGGAACUGUGAGACAGGUGCUGCAUGGCUGUCGUCAGCUCGUGUUGUGAAAUGUUGGGUUAAGUCCCGCAACGAGCGCAACCCUUAUCCUUUGUUGCCAGCGGUUAGGCCGGGAACUCAAAGGAGACUGCCAGUGAUAAACUGGAGGAAGGUGGGGAUGACGUCAAGUCAUCAUGGCCCUUACGACCAGGGCUACACACGUGCUACAAUGGCAUAUACAAAGAGAAGCGACCUCGCGAGAGCAAGCGGACCUCAUAAAGUAUGUCGUAGUCCGGAUUGGAGUCUGCAACUCGACUCCAUGAAGUCGGAAUCGCUAGUAAUCGUAGAUCAGAAUGCUACGGUGAAUACGUUCCCGGGCCUUGUACACACCGCCCGUCACACCAUGGGAGUGGGUUGCAAAAGAAGUAGGUAGCUUAACCUUCGGGAGGGCGCUUACCACUUUGUGAUUCAUGACUGGGGUGAAGUCGUAACAAGGUAACCGUAGGGGAACCUGCGGUUG